This 58-nucleotide transfer RNA is filed under the name Ailuropoda melanoleuca (giant panda). It matches the Rfam family "tRNA", at positions 8 to 63 of the family's 71-position model. Rfam says of the family: Transfer RNA (tRNA) molecules are approximately 80 nucleotides in length. Their secondary structure includes four short double-helical elements and three loops (D, anti-codon, and T loops). The record is from Rfam by way of RNAcentral. Lineage: Eukaryota; Metazoa; Chordata; Mammalia; Carnivora; Ursidae.
UGGCUCAGUCGGUAGAGCAUGUGACUCUAGAUCUCAGGGUUGUGAGUUCAAGCCCCAC